This is a small nucleolar RNA of Grammomys surdaster, 128 nucleotides long. RefSeq annotates it as small nucleolar RNA SNORA17. The transcript has a single exon. Lineage: Eukaryota; Metazoa; Chordata; Mammalia; Rodentia; Muridae. The record is from RefSeq and is a predicted model, not a curated record.
CCUGCCCCUAGAGGCACUGCAGGUGUGGCUGCUGUGUCCCAUGUGUGUCAGUAGGUGGCAGAGAGGAAAGAGGCUAUCUCUAUGUUGUUCUGACCUACGGACAACUGAAUGAUUAGUAACCUAACACU